This 386-nucleotide ribosomal RNA is filed under the name Salmonella enterica subsp. enterica serovar Weltevreden. RNAcentral describes it as "bacterial SSU rRNA". It matches the Rfam family "Bacterial small subunit ribosomal RNA", at positions 869 to 1255 of the family's 1533-position model. RNAcentral also lists the same sequence under 1 other name. Lineage: Bacteria; Pseudomonadati; Pseudomonadota; Gammaproteobacteria; Enterobacterales; Enterobacteriaceae. The record is from RNAcentral.
CCGCCUGGGGAGUACGGCCGCAAGGUUAAAACUCAAAUGAAUUGACGGGGGCCCGCACAAGCGGUGGAGCAUGUGGUUUAAUUCGAUGCAACGCGAAGAACCUUACCUGGUCUUGACAUCCACAGAACUUUCCAGAGAUGGAUUGGUGCCUUCGGGAACUGUGAGACAGGUGCUGCAUGGCUGUCGUCAGCUCGUGUUGUGAAAUGUUGGGUUAAGUCCCGCAACGAGCGCAACCCUUAUCCUUUGUUGCCAGCGGUUAGGCCGGGAACUCAAAGGAGACUGCCAGUGAUAAACUGGAGGAAGGUGGGGAUGACGUCAAGUCAUCAUGGCCCUUACGACCAGGGCUACACACGUGCUACAAUGGCGCAUACAAAGAGAAGCGACCU